GGCCAGUAUGGCUGGGUCUGUGGUUGUGAAUUUUGCCUGAGAGCGUGUUAAUGCUAUUGAUUGUUUGCGGGCUACAAUUUGUGACGGAGUGCAACGGCAAUGCCUUUGGUUGGGAUGGUGCCUUCUUGGUUUUGGUUGGUGUAAUUACAGACGGUUCCCUUAUUAGUUCCACUGGGCGUUCUUCUGCAGGAGGUUUGAUUAGGAAUAAUGUUAGGAGCUUGUGUGGGAGGCUUCACCUCCAAUCUGGGUAUCUGCUUGAUUAUGGAUGCUGAGCUUUGGGGAGUUCUUCUUGGGUUUUCAAGUGUCUGGGGAGAAGGGUGUUAGAUGUUUGAUUGUGGAAACUGACAACUCAGUGGUGCCUCUUUUGAGCAGUGAUGUUCACAGCAGCCCUCAUUCAAGUCUCCUUGGCAGUAUUAAGGAGCUGAUCAACAAGGAUUGGACUGUUCUUGUGAAGCACAUCUACAAGGUAUAUGAUUCCAACCUAAACUCCUCACUUUGCAGUUGCUGCCAUUAUCAUGUGCUGCAACCACAAUGGUUCAAUCUAAAGAUGUACAAUGCAGAAAAAUGACUUAACGGAAGGUUGAAAUCCCAUUUUGUAUGCAAAACUUACAUAAACACCAAAUCGAAGUACCCCCCAUUUAAGAAUCUGUGCUUUUCAAAAGAAUUUGAACUUCCUUGUUAUAAAAUUGCAAGAAACAGAGUCAAUUUGUACAUAUUUGGGAAUGAGAAAAGAAGAAAGAAUGGUUGUAGUGUUUACUUUCAAUAAUUCUGUAUAUAAUCUAAGAAUGGAUCCAGGAUUUUCUAUCUUCUUCUAAAUUACGUUAAAUUUGGGCUCAAAUUCAAUACAAACGUAACCCAUUACCAAAUUAGGGAGGAAAUGAUUGUUUUCA
RNAcentral lists this unclassified non-coding RNA (890 nucleotides) under Hevea brasiliensis (rubber tree). The record is from RNAcentral. Lineage: Eukaryota; Viridiplantae; Streptophyta; Magnoliopsida; Malpighiales; Euphorbiaceae.